AACGAACGCUGGCGGCAGGCUUAACACAUGCAAGUCGAACGCCCCGCAAGGGGAGUGGCAGACGGGUGAGUAACGCGUGGGAACAUACCCUUUUCUACGGAAUAGCUCUGGGAAACUGGAAUUAAUACCGUAUACGCCCUACGGGGGAAAGAUUUAUCGGGGAAGGAUUGGCCCGCGUUGGACUAGCUAGUUGGUGGGGUAAAGGCCUACCAAGGCGACGAUCCAUAGCUGGUCUGAGAGGAUGAUCAGCCACAUUGGGACUGAGACACGGCCCAAACUCCUACGGGAGGCAGCAGUGGGGAAUAUUGGACAAUGGGCGCAAGCCUGAUCCAGCCAUGCCGCGUGAGUGAUGAAGGCCUUAGGGUUGUAAAGCUCUUUCACCGAUGAAGAUAAUGACGGUAGUCGGAGAAGAAGCCCCGGCUAACUUCGUG
Molecule: ribosomal RNA, 431 nt
Filed under: uncultured bacterium
Lineage: Bacteria
Description: partial 16S ribosomal RNA
Rfam family: Bacterial small subunit ribosomal RNA
Source: RNAcentral